CGGUCUUAUCACAUUUAACCACCGGUUCUCGUACGAUCGCCGAAAAUAAGCAACGUCGAGUCUGUUCUGUACCUAGCUGGGUGACCGCUUGGAAACUCCAGGUGCUGCAAG
Acanthosepion pharaonis is the source of this 111-nucleotide non-coding RNA. The record is from the annotation of a GenBank genome assembly. NCBI's taxonomy places the organism in Eukaryota, Metazoa, Mollusca, Cephalopoda, Sepiida, Sepiidae.